GAACGCACCUUGCGCUCCUUGGUAUUCCGAGGAGCAUGCCUGUUUGAGUGUCAUUAAUAUAUCAAUCUCUUCAGCUUUUGCUUGUCGAGUGUUGGAUGUGGGGGUCUUUUUUGCUGGUCUUUCUCAGAUCAGCUCCCCUGAAAUGUAUUAGCGGAACAAUUUGUGGACCGUUCAUUGGUGUGAUAACUAUCUACGCUAUUGACGUGAAGCAGUUCAGCUUCUAACAGUCCAUUGACUUGGACAAAUUUUCAUUAAUGUGACCUCAAAUCAGGUAGGACUACCCGCUGAACUUAAG
This 295-nucleotide unclassified non-coding RNA is filed under the name Phlegmacium luteocingulatum. RNAcentral describes it as "Cortinarius luteocingulatus sequence contains 5.8S rRNA gene". The stretch from base 1 to 53 matches the Rfam family "5.8S ribosomal RNA", at positions 102 to 154 of the family's 154-position model. Lineage: Eukaryota; Fungi; Basidiomycota; Agaricomycetes; Agaricales; Cortinariaceae. The record is from RNAcentral.